GACGAACGCUGGCGGCGUGCUUAACACAUGCAAGUCGAACGGAAAGGCCCUGCUUUUGUGGGGUGCUCGAGUGGCGAACGGGUGAGUAACACGUGAGUAACCUGCCCUUGACUUUGGGAUAACUUCAGGAAACUGGGGCUAAUACCGGAUAGGAGCUCCUGCUGCAUGGUGGGGGUUGGAAAGUUUCGGCGGUUGGGGAUGGACUCGCGGCGUAUCAGCUUGUUGGUGGGGUAGUGGCUUACCAAGGCUUUGACGGGUAGCCGGCCUGAGAAGGUGACCGGCCACAUUGGGACUGAGAUACGGCCCAGACUCCUACGGGAGGCAGCAGUGGGGAAUAUUGCACAAUGGGCGGAAGCCUGAUGCAGCAACGCCGCGUGCGGGAUGACGGCCUUCGGGUUGUAAACCGCUUUCGCCUGUGACGAAGCGUGAGUGACGGUAAUGGGUAAAGAAGCACCGGCUAACUACGUG
This 468-nucleotide ribosomal RNA is filed under the name uncultured bacterium. RNAcentral describes it as "partial 16S ribosomal RNA". It matches the Rfam family "Bacterial small subunit ribosomal RNA", at positions 28 to 507 of the family's 1533-position model. The record is from RNAcentral.